Molecule: ribosomal RNA, 1293 nt
Filed under: metagenome
Description: bacterial LSU rRNA
Rfam family: Bacterial large subunit ribosomal RNA
Source: RNAcentral
AAGCCGCUAUUGUUUUUAAGAUACCCGUACCGUAAACCGACACAGGUGGAUGAGGAGAGAAUCCUAAGGCCGGCGGAAGAAGCAUUGUUAAGGAACUCGGCAAAAUGACCCCGUAACUUCGGGAGAAGGGGUGCCAACGAGAGUUGGCCGCAGAGAAUAGGCUCAAGCAACUGUUUAGCAAAAACACAGGUCUAUGCAAAACCGUAAGGUGAGGUAUAUGGGCUGACGCCUGCCCGGUGCUGGAAGGUUAAGAGGAGAGGUUAGCGCAAGCGAAGCUUUGAAUUUAAGCCCCAGUAAACGGCGGCCGUAACAAUAACGGUCCUAAGGUAGCGAAAUUCCUUGUCGGGUAAGUUCCGACCCGCACGAAAGGCGUAAUGAUUUGAGCGCUGUCUCGACAAUGCAUCCGGUGAAAUUGAAGUACCAGUGAAGAUGCUGGUUACCCGCGCCAGGACGGAAAGACCCCAUGGAGCUUUACUCCAGUUUGGUACUGGGGUCCGGCAGUGCAUGUACAGGAUAGGUGGGAGGCUGUGAACCUGGAACGCCAGUUUCAGGGGAGCCAUUGUUGGGAUACCACCCUUGUGCUGCUGGGCUUCUAACCAGCGGCCUUUAUCAGGCCGGGGGACAAUGCCAGACGGGGAGUUUGACUGGGGCGGUCGCCUCCGAAAGGGUAUCGGAGGCGCUCAAAGGUUCCCUCAGAAUGGUCGGAAACCAUUCGAAGAGUGCAAAGGCAGAAGGGAGCUUGACUGCGACACCGACGGGUGGAGCAGGUACGAAAGUAGGACUUAGUGAUCCGGUGGUAUUAAGUGGGAAUGCCAUCGCUCAACGGAUAAAAGCUACCCUGGGAUAACAGGCUUAUCACUCCCAAGAGUUCACAUCGACGGAGUGGUUUGGCACCUCGAUGUCGGCUCAUCGCAUCCUGGGGCUGUAGUAGGUCCCAAGGGUUGGGCUGUUCGCCCAUUAAAGCGGUACGCGAGCUGGGUUCAGAACGUCGUGAGACAGUUCGGUCCCUAUCCGGCGUGGGCGUAGGAUAUUUGAGAGGAGCUGUCCUUAGUACGAGAGGACCGGGAUGGACUGACCUCUGGUGUACCGGUUGAACCGCCAGGUUCACGGCCGGGUAGCCAAGUCGGGAAGGGAUAAACGCUGAAGGCAUCUAAGCGUGAAGCCCCCCUCAAGAUGAGAUAUCCCAUUCGAAAGAAGUAAGACCCCUUGAAGACGACGAGGUAGAUAGGGCAGAGGUGGAAGUGCCGUAAGGCAUGGAGCUGACUGUUACUAAUCGGUCGAGGGCUUGACUAA